This 2544-nucleotide long non-coding RNA is filed under the name Sus scrofa (pig). RNAcentral describes it as "lncRNA (ENSSSCG00015024208.1)". Lineage: Eukaryota; Metazoa; Chordata; Mammalia; Artiodactyla; Suidae. The record is from RNAcentral.
UGGCUCCAGGCGGUUUCCCAGACUACACUCCAGGGUGUUCCUAGUCAUUUUCACAUUAGCAGUUGUUCUGGUAUGGCUUGGCUGCGCCUCUGUGGGCCAUUUAACCUUCACCAUUGUCCCAGCCUGUUCCGGGGCCGGGCUGGACUUGCAGGCUGCAUGUUAAAGGCUGAGAGAAGCCAGAACUCCCUGUCAGCCUGAGGUCUCCCACUGGGUGUUUCCAUGGCUUUGCCAAGACAGGUUUUGUUGUUGCUAAUUGUUACUUCACCUUCCGUGCAUCUUCUGAGGAAGAUUCAAGGUGGAAAGCACCUGAAGCUGAAUCCAGGCCUGGAGAAGAACUCACUCCCCCCAACCCCCUUUCCUUUUUAAGUCUCUUCUGAGCCCAAAGAUCUUAUGUACACAUCUUGGAGUCUUAGAAGUCAGCCCUGUCUCCAUGGAGGGCUUCCCUGGAGGGGGUAGAAUGUUGUGUGUUAGUUUCCUGUGCCCAAAUAAAUAAACCCUGUCCUAAGCCAUAGGCUCCAGGUUUGCUUCUGGCGUCCCUUUGCCUCAGAGUUUCUGUGUUGAAUAAAACAGAAAUGUUUAGCAAAUCCCAAGAAAUUCCUUAUUUAAUGGAAAAAAGAGAUCCCUGAGUUUAUAUUUCAAAAUGUGAUUUCCAUGUUCCCAUUGCAUUAAGGCAAGUUUGACUCACCAAAUCCCCAGAUGUCUGGUAGCCUUUUUUAAAUGCCUGGGUUUAGCCCCUAGAACCCAUUUCGAGUACCUGUUGUGGACAGGAUUCUCCUCGGAGCCGUGUAGGAGGUAGAUUCCCCCAGUGAACCUCUUACCCACCCCGUAAUUUAGUUGUAAAGGUUGCAUUAGCAUCUAUAGGAAGUUUCAGCUCUAGCCAGUAGGCCAGCUUUAUGCCUGCAUGUUGAUCUUUCAUACUGUGUGAUAUAACCUUUGUGUGGCCAUCUGUCCUCUUUCCUGACGAAGGCAGGUUCAGCCCUGGGACUGGCCACAGUUUAUCUCACUAGCCAACCUGACAUCUAGCAACUGCCUUGGCGGUUUCUCUAAGAGUUGUUAUUUUCUUCCCUCCAGCCUCUUUGAUGAUUGGGGGUUUUUUUCAUUUGCCUCUUGUUUCUGCCAGCCCUCCUAAAAUGUUCGCCUUUUUACCUAAAAGUAAUUUCUAUUCAUUGUUGAAAGAGAAAGAGAGAUAGAAACAGAACGAGCGUACAGAGAGGAAUUUAGAAAAACAAAGUAAAGAAAAUAGAAUCCCACCACAGCAAACUUAGGGCUGUUAAUGUUUUGGAUUUGCAAAAGUAUGUUUGCCUGCGGUUGUGUACCCUUAAUUCUUUCAAGGUUGGGGGAUAAUUAUAUGAUAUGAUGAGCCAUUUUCCUCUAUCAUUAAAUAGUCUUCAAAACCUUAUCUGUAGGUAGCACAUGAUAUUCAAUUGUAUGGGCAAAGCCAUCAUCUUAACGAUUUCCUUUGUGCUGGACUUGUAGGUGGUUUCUACCUUUUUAGUUCAAACUCACCUUUAAGGUAGUAGCUGUAGCAUGGUAGCCACUUAUAGAGGGUGUAGCUCGUGUCUGGCACUGUGCUGGGUCUGGGGAUAUGGAAGGAAAAGGCACCUGUUUGCCCCCAGGAAGAGGGCUGGCCAGCACCGUUGCCAGGCGUUACAUCAUGCCUCCUAACAUGAUGCUUAAUAUUAGACUCCCCUUGAUGCAUAACAGAGUCUGAAAGGGCUUGCUGAGUCAUCCAAUAACUGUCCUAUUCAGUAUCAUCUCAGAGUUAUGUGUAUUUCAUUAUUUUCUACGUCUGAAACAUGGUUUGAGGGGUGGGGAUGGAGGUGGAAAGAAAGUGCCCCAAGAGAAACUGACCCUUCAGCUACUUCUUGAAGGAUAAAAUAACACAGAAGAAGGAAGAAAGGUUAGGGGUACAGGGGACGGAGAGUGGAGAUGGGGCAGACAGUGCCAAGAAAGGGAGCUGGGCAGGGGUGAGUAUGUGCCAGGGCUUUGUUCUGGCCUGAAUUUAGGAUGCCAGUGUCUGCCUGACAGGGGCUGCCCCUGGAGAGCUCUGCAAGGGACACAUGCUAAGAGGUCUUUGAUGCCUCCCCAGGGAGACACACUUCAACCAAAGACUUGGCGAGCCAGCCUCUAAGGGUUACAAAUAGAGGCCUGAGCUCAACAGAUGUGCACAUCCAGAAAAGUCAUGGUGGCAUCUGUAGGGGGCAUAGGAGGCAUGGGAGUUUCUGGGGAGAGGUACCAGGUGAUGACUCUGAGCCUCCUGGCACAGGAAUUGUGACUUUUGUGUAUUACUGCCCGGCAUACAUUAGGUGCUCGUGAGUUCCCUUCAUGGCACAGUGGAAAUGGAUCCGACUAGGAACCAUGAGGUUGCAGGUUCGAUCCCUGGCCUCGCUCAGUGAGUUAAGGAUCUGGCGUUGUCAUGAGCUGUGGUGUAUGUCGCAGAUGCAGCUCAGGUCUGGCAUUGCUAUGGCUCUGGCGUAGGCCGGCAGCUGUAGCUCUGAUUCCACCCCUAGCCUGGGACCCUCCAUAUGCCACGAGUGCGGCCCU